GACGAACGCUGGCGGCGUGCUUAACACAUGCAAGUCGAACGGAAAGGCCCUGCUUUUGUGGGGUGCUCGAGUGGCGAACGGGUGAGUAACACGUGAGUAACCUGCCCUUGACUUUGGGAUAACUUCAGGAAACUGGGGCUAAUACCGGAUAGGAGCUCCUGCUGCAUGGUGGGGGUUGGAAAGUUUCGGCGGUUGGGGAUGGACUCGCGGCUUAUCAGCUUGUUGGUGGGGUAGUGGCUUACCAAGGCUUUGACGGGUAGCCGGCCUGAGAGGGUGACCGGCCACAUUGGGACUGAGAUACGGCCAAGACUCCUACGGAGGCAGCAGUGGGGAAUAUUGCACAAUGGGCGGAAGCCUGAUGCAGCAACGCCGCGUGCGGGAUGACGGCCUUCGGGUUGUAAACCGCUUUCGCCUGUGACGAAGCGUGAGUGACGGUAAUGGGUAAAGAAGCACCGGCUAACUACGUG
This 467-nucleotide ribosomal RNA is filed under the name uncultured bacterium. Its description in RNAcentral is "partial 16S ribosomal RNA". It matches the Rfam family "Bacterial small subunit ribosomal RNA", at positions 28 to 507 of the family's 1533-position model. The record is from RNAcentral.